RNAcentral lists this ribosomal RNA (492 nucleotides) under uncultured bacterium. RNAcentral describes it as "partial 16S ribosomal RNA". It matches the Rfam family "Bacterial small subunit ribosomal RNA", at positions 29 to 507 of the family's 1533-position model. The record is from RNAcentral.
AGUGAACGCUGGCGGUAGGCCUAACACAUGCAAGUCGAACGGCAGCACAGUAAGAGCUUGCUCUUACGGGUGGCGAGUGGCGGACGGGUGAGGAAUACAUCGGAAUCUACUUUUUCGUGGGGGAUAACGUAGGGAAACUUACGCUAAUACCGCAUACGACCUACGGGUGAAAGCAGGGGAUCUUCGGACCUUGCGGGAUUGAAUGAGCCGAUGUCGGAUUAGCUAGUUGGCGGGGUAAAGGCCAACCAAGGCGACGAUCCGUAGCUGGGCUGAGAGGAUGAUCGCCCACACUGGAACUGAGCCACGGUCCAGACUCCUACGGGAGGCACCAGUGGGGAAUAUUGGACACUGGGCGCAAGCCUGAUCCAGCCAUACCGCGUGGGUGAAGAAGGCCUUCGGGUUGUAAAGCCCUUUUGUUGGGAAAGAAAAGCAGCAGGUUAAUACCCCGCUGUUCUGACGGUACCCAAAGAAUAAGCACCGGCUAACUUCGUG